Molecule: ribosomal RNA, 468 nt
Filed under: uncultured bacterium
Lineage: Bacteria
Description: partial 16S ribosomal RNA
Rfam family: Bacterial small subunit ribosomal RNA
Source: RNAcentral
GAUGAACGCUGGCGGCGUGCUUAACACAUGCAAGUCGAACGGUGAAGGCGGAGCUUGCUCUGCUGGAUCAGUGGCGAACGGGUGAGUAACACGUGAGCAAUCUGCCCCUGACUCUGGGAUAAGCGCUGGAAACGGCGUCUAAUACUGGAUACGAGCUGCGAAGGCAUCUUCAGCAGCUGGAAAGAAUUUCGGUCAGGGAUGAGCUCACGGCCUAUCAGCUUGUUGGUGAGGUAAUGGCUCACCAAGGCGUCGACGGGUAGCCGGCCUGAGAGGGUGACCGGCCACACUGGGACUGAGACACGGCCCAGACUCCUACGGGAGGCAGCAGUGGGGAAUAUUGCACAAUGGGCGAAAGCCUGAUGCAGCAACGCCGCGUGAGGGACGACGGCCUUCGGGUUGUAAACCUCUUUUAGCAGGGAAGAAGCGAAAGUGACGGUACCUGCAGAAAAAGCGCCGGCUAACUACGUG